RNAcentral lists this ribosomal RNA (253 nucleotides) under uncultured bacterium. Its description in RNAcentral is "partial 16S ribosomal RNA". It matches the Rfam family "Bacterial small subunit ribosomal RNA", at positions 524 to 776 of the family's 1533-position model. The record is from RNAcentral.
UACGUAGGUGGCAAGCGUUGUCCGGAUUUACUGGGCGUAAAGAGCGCGCAGGCGGUUGUGCAAGUCGCGUGUGAAAGCCCCCGGCUCAACUGGGGAGGGUCACGCGAUACUGUUCGACUUGAAGGCAGGAGAGGGAAGUGGAAUUCCCGGUGUAGUGGUGAAAUGCGUAGAUAUCGGGAGGAACACCAAUGGCGAAGGCGACUUCCUGGCCUGUUCUUGACGCUGAGGCGCGAAAGCUAGGGUAGCAAACGGG